This 253-nucleotide ribosomal RNA is filed under the name uncultured bacterium. RNAcentral's name for it is "partial 16S ribosomal RNA". It matches the Rfam family "Bacterial small subunit ribosomal RNA", at positions 524 to 776 of the family's 1533-position model. The record is from RNAcentral.
UACGUAGGGUGCAAGCGUUGUCCGGAAUUAUUGGGCGUAAAGAGCUCGUAGGCGGUUUGUCGCGUCUGCUGUGAAAACUCGGGGCUUAACCCCGGGCCUGCAGUGGGUACGGGCAGACUAGAGUGCGGUAGGGGAGACUGGAAUUCCUGGUGUAGCGGUGAAAUGCGCAGAUAUCAGGAGGAACACCGAUGGCGAAGGCAGAUCUCUGGGCCGUAACUGACGCUGAGGAGCGAAAGCAUGGGGAGCGAACAGG